UACGUAGGGUGCGAGCGUUGUCCGGAAUUAUUGGGCGUAAAGAGCUCGUAGGCGGCUUGUCGCGUCGUCCGUGAAAACUCACAGCUCAACUGUGAGCUUGCGGUCGAUACGGGCAGGCUAGAGUUCGGUAGGGGAGACUGGAAUUCCUGGUGUAGCGGUGAAAUGCGCAGAUAUCAGGAGGAACACCGGUGGCGAAGGCGGGUCUCUGGGCCGAUACUGACGCUGAGGAGCGAAAGCGUGGGGAGCGAACAGG
RNAcentral lists this ribosomal RNA (253 nucleotides) under uncultured bacterium. RNAcentral describes it as "partial 16S ribosomal RNA". It matches the Rfam family "Bacterial small subunit ribosomal RNA", at positions 524 to 776 of the family's 1533-position model. The record is from RNAcentral.